AUUGAACGCUGGCGGCAUGCUUACACAUGCAAGUCGAACGGUAACGGGCCUUCGGGUGCCGACGAGUGGCGAACGGGUGAGUAAUGCAUCGGAACGUACCCGGGAGUGGGGGAUAACUAUCCGAAAGGAUAGCUAAUACCGCAUAUUCUGUGAGCAGGAAAGCAGGGGACCGCAAGGCCUUGUGCUUCCGAAGCGGCCGAUGUCAGAUUAGCUAGUUGGUGGGGUAAAGGCCUACCAAGGCGACGAUCUGUAGCGGGUCUGAGAGGAUGAUCCGCCACACUGGAACUGAGACACGGUCCAGACUCCUACGGGAGGCAGCAGUGGGGAAUUUUGGACAAUGGGCGAAAGCCUGAUCCAGCCAUGCCGCGUGAGUGAAGAAGGCCUUCGGGUUGUAAAGCUCUUUCAGACGGAAAGAAAUCUUCUGGGCUAAUACCCCGGGAGGAUGACGGUACCGUAAGAAGAAGCACCGGCUAACUACGUGCCAGCCGCCGCAGUAA
RNAcentral lists this ribosomal RNA (497 nucleotides) under uncultured bacterium. Its description in RNAcentral is "partial 16S ribosomal RNA". It matches the Rfam family "Bacterial small subunit ribosomal RNA", at positions 30 to 523 of the family's 1533-position model. The record is from RNAcentral.